Heterocephalus glaber (naked mole-rat) is the source of this 601-nucleotide non-coding RNA. NCBI's taxonomy places the organism in Eukaryota, Metazoa, Chordata, Mammalia, Rodentia, Bathyergidae. The record is from RefSeq and is a predicted model, not a curated record.
CUCGGCAAAGUGAGGGAAGUUUUUGCACCUCUAGGUCCUCUCGCCCAAGCGAUAAACAGCCAAGGUCUGGGGGAAGUGAAGUGAGUAUUUCACAUUGUAUAAAGCUCUGCUACAUCCUUACCUCAACUAAUCUUCAAAACAAGUCUGGAAAUAUGAAUUGUUGUUAUCGUCCUUAUUCAGAGGAUAAGAAAACUGUGUCUAAAAGAGAAAAACAGACACAUAAAGGGAAGAUGGCUGCAUAAAGAAAAAGGUACAAAUUGGAGCAAAGCAGCUAUAAACCAAGAAACAUCAAGGAUUGAAGGCAACAAUCAGACAGUAGGAAAAGGCAAGUUAAAAUUCUUCCCCAGGACUUCAAGAUGGCCCUGUGGUUUCCUCCUGGAUGAUGGGGAAGUCUGGCAGCCUAGAGAGCUAUGAACUGAUUCAUGCUGAAGAAGAACCAAGAGGGAUCAUGUCUGCCAUAGGGUGAAGUUUUGUUCCACCACCCCCUUCCACCAUGAUAUCUUGUUUCAUCUCUGCUCAAAUUAAUGGAGUCAGCCAACCACAGUCUGAAACCUCUGAAACUGGAUCGAACUCGGGUCCUUGCGCUUGUGCAGCAGGCGGU